This 490-nucleotide ribosomal RNA is filed under the name uncultured bacterium. RNAcentral describes it as "partial 16S ribosomal RNA". It matches the Rfam family "Bacterial small subunit ribosomal RNA", at positions 28 to 507 of the family's 1533-position model. The record is from RNAcentral.
GAUGAACGCUAGCUACAGGCUUAACACAUGCAAGUCGAGGGGAAACGAUGAGAGAGCUUGCUCUCUUAGGCGUCGACCGGCGCACGGGUGAGUAACGCGUAUCCAACCUCCCCAUUACAGGGGGAUAACCUUGCGAAAGUAAGACUAAUACCCCAUGGCAUUUUAUGGUGGCAUCAUUAUAGGAUUAAAGAUUUAUUGGUAAUGGAUGGGGAUGCGUCUGAUUAGCUUGUUGGCGGGGUAACGGCCCACCAAGGCAACGAUCAGUAGGGGUUCUGAGAGGAAGGUCCCCCACAUUGGAACUGAGACACGGUCCAAACUCCUACGGGAGGCAGCAGUGAGGAAUAUUGAUCAAUGGGCGAGAGCUUGAACCAGCCAAGUAGCGUGCAGGAUGACGGCCCUAUGGGUUGUAAACUGCUUUUAUAGGGGAAUAAAGUGAGCUACGUGUAGUUUAUUGCAUGUACCCUAUGAAUAAGGACCGGCUAAUUCCGUG